This 73-nucleotide transfer RNA is filed under the name Mus musculus (house mouse). Its description in RNAcentral is "tRNA-Ser". The record is from RNAcentral. Lineage: Eukaryota; Metazoa; Chordata; Mammalia; Rodentia; Muridae.
GGAGAGAUGGCUGAGUGGUUAAGAGCACUGACUGCUCUUCCAGAGGUCCUGAGUUCAAUUCCCAGCAACCACA